Molecule: ribosomal RNA, 252 nt
Filed under: uncultured bacterium
Lineage: Bacteria
Description: partial 16S ribosomal RNA
Rfam family: Bacterial small subunit ribosomal RNA
Source: RNAcentral
UACAGAGGUCUCAAGCGUUGUUCGGAUUCAUUGGGCGUAAAGGGUGCGUAGGCGGCGCGGUAAGUCGGGUGUGAAAUCUUGGAGCUUAACUCCGAACUGCAUUCGAUACUGCCGUGCUUGAGGACUGGAGAGGAGACUGGAAUUUACGGUGUAGCUGGUGAAAUGCGUAGAUAUCGUAAGGAAGACCAGUGGCGAAGGCGGGUCUCUGGACAGUUCCUGACGCUGAGGCACGAAGGCCAGGGAGCAAACGGG